This 404-nucleotide unclassified non-coding RNA is filed under the name soil metagenome. RNAcentral describes it as "partial contains 5.8S ribosomal RNA, internal transcribed spacer 2, and large subunit ribosomal RNA". The stretch from base 1 to 122 matches the Rfam family "5.8S ribosomal RNA", at positions 35 to 154 of the family's 154-position model. The record is from RNAcentral.
GAUGAAGAACGUAGCAAAAUGCGAUACUUGGUGUGAAUUGCAGAAUCCCGUGAACCAUCGAGUUUUUGAACGCAAGUUGCGCCCGAAGCCUUUUGGCCGAGGGCACGUCUGCCUGGGCGUCACGCAUCGCGUCGCCCCCCAUAAUUCUCCGUAAAGGGAACAUGUGUUUUGGGGGCGGAUAUUGGUCUCCCGUGCUCAUGGCGUGGUUGGCCGAAAUAGGAGUCCUUUCGAUGGACGCACGAACUAGUGGUGGUCGUAAAAACCCUCGUCUUUUGUUUCGUGCUGUUGCUCGCAAGGUAAACUCUUUAAAAACCCCAAUGUGUCGUCUCUUGACGACGCUUCGACCGCGACCCCAGGUCAGGCGGGACUACCCGCUGAGUUUAAGCAUAUCAAUAAGCGGAGGA